AACAGUACCGGGGGCGGGCCGAGCGACGCAGCCGGGACGGUAGCUGCGGUGCGGACCGGAGGAGCCAUCUUGUCUCGUCGCCGGGGAGUCAGGCCCCUAAAUCGAAGAAGCCCUGGCGCGCCCUCCCCCCCUCCCGGGUCUGGGCAGAGACAGAUAAUCUCACUUCCAGAGAAAUGACUUGGAGAAAAAAAAGUGUUGGUCUUUUUGCUCUUUUGUAAUUAAAUCCGGAUGUACCUCAAAAGACUUAAGACUGUGGUGAUAAGAUGCUUUCCUCAGCAGAAAGGAGGGAAAAAAAACAACUGGAACUCAAAGCUUGAAAUUCUGUGGCAAAACAUGAGAUGUCCAGGAUUGGAGGUUGAAAAGAUUUCACUACAG
RNAcentral lists this long non-coding RNA (375 nucleotides) under Homo sapiens (human). RNAcentral's name for it is "non-protein coding TUG1:59". The stretch from base 188 to 274 matches the Rfam family "Taurine upregulated gene 1 conserved region 2". The record is from RNAcentral. Lineage: Eukaryota; Metazoa; Chordata; Mammalia; Primates; Hominidae.